This is a long non-coding RNA of Lycium barbarum (goji berry), 615 nucleotides long. RefSeq lists it as uncharacterized. Lineage: Eukaryota; Viridiplantae; Streptophyta; Magnoliopsida; Solanales; Solanaceae. The transcript has 2 exons. The record is from RefSeq and is a predicted model, not a curated record.
AAGAAGAAACGUCCGGUCCAAAUUGCAAAAGUAGCCACAAAUUCAGCGGUUAGAAGGAAAAGAAAUACGUCGUGUGGAAUUUAAUGUUAUCACCUAGGAGAAAUCAAAUAUUAAAUCGUAGCCGUCGAUUAGAUCUGAUUGAACGGUCAAUAUUAUUCGUUGUACUUGCUAUAUAAAACUUUGGUCCGAGGUCACUUUUCCGCCGCUGGCUAUGGUGGCCUGAAAUGGCACCACCGCCGUGCUACCACCGUCUCCUUUCUUAAAUCAUUUCUCGUAGAUCAUGGAUGAACUCCGACGACCGGAUUGCCUCUUUCCGGCUAGGCCUUGCCUGAGAAAGAAUGAAGAUAGAAAUGAGCAUGUCGAUAUUGGAGAUGACAGUACUCGUUCAAAAGAAAGAAGAGAAGGAGGAAAGUGCUCAGACAAUUUUAUUCCACACACACCAAGCUGACACGUGGAAAGUGGAGUCAUGCCCCACGUGAAAUUUCCUAUAAGCUUCCUAUUUUCCUUGUAGAAAAAAUCAGAUAUUUAUUUACAUUGUAAUUUUUAUUUUGUAAUGAGUAGUUUGUUGCAAAUAGACCAAUAAACAUAGGACACGUAGACAAGUUGUUACGAGUA